Molecule: ribosomal RNA, 446 nt
Filed under: uncultured bacterium
Lineage: Bacteria
Description: bacterial SSU rRNA
Rfam family: Bacterial small subunit ribosomal RNA
Source: RNAcentral
GUAAGGAAUAUUGGUCAAUGGUGGGAACACUGAACCAGCCAUUCCGCGUGAAGGAUGAAUGCCCUCUGGGUUGUAAACUUCUUUAGUCUGGGACGAAAAAGCUUCAUUCAUGAAGAACUGACGGUACCAGAAGAAUAAGCACCGGCUAACUCCGUGCCAGCAGCCGCGGUAAUACGGAGGGUGCAAGCGUUAUCCGGAAUCACUGGGUUUAAAGGGUGCGUAGGCGGCGUUAUAAGUCAGGAGUGAAAUUCCACGGCUCAACUGUAGGAACUGCUUUUGAUACUGUAAUGCUUGAACCAAGAUGAGGUAGGCGGAAUGUGACAUGUAGCGGUGAAAUGCAUAGAUAUGUCAUAGAACACCAAUUGCGAAGGCAGCUUACUAGACUUGAGUUGACGCUGAGGCACGAAAGCGUGGGGAGCAAACAGGAUUAGAAACCCCAGUAGUCC